RNAcentral lists this ribosomal RNA (399 nucleotides) under Micrococcus sp. ACSD08. RNAcentral's name for it is "bacterial SSU rRNA". It matches the Rfam family "Bacterial small subunit ribosomal RNA", at positions 36 to 513 of the family's 1533-position model. The record is from RNAcentral. Lineage: Bacteria; Bacillati; Actinomycetota; Actinomycetes; Micrococcales; Micrococcaceae.
CCGGCGUGCUUAACACAUGCAAGUCGAACGAUGAAGCCCAGCUUGCUGGGUGGAUUAGUGGCGAACGGGUGAGUAACACGUGAGUAACCUGCCCUUAACUCUGGGAUAAGCCUGGGAAAGGGUCUAAUACCGGAUAGGAGCGCCCAACCGCAUGGAGAUUUAUCGGUUUUGGACUCGCGGCCUAUCAGCUUGGUGAGGUAAUGGCUUAAGGCGACGACGGGUAGCCGGCCUGAGAGGGUGACCCACACUGGGACUGAGACACGGCCCAGACUCCUACGGGAGGCAGCAGUGGGGAAUACAAUGGGCGAAAGCCUGAUCGCCGCGUGAGGGAUGUAAACCUCUUUCAGUAGGGAAGAAGCGAACCUGCAGAAGAAGCACGCGGCUAACUACGUGCUAGCC